RNAcentral lists this ribosomal RNA (274 nucleotides) under uncultured bacterium. RNAcentral's name for it is "partial 16S ribosomal RNA". It matches the Rfam family "Bacterial small subunit ribosomal RNA", at positions 523 to 796 of the family's 1533-position model. The record is from RNAcentral.
AUACGGAGGGUGCAAGCGUUAUCCGGAAUCAUUGGGUUUAAAGGGUCCGUAGGCGGACUAUUAAGUCAGAGGUGAAAUCCCACAGCUCAACUGUGGAACUGCCUUUGAUACUGGUAGUCUUGAGUUAUAUGGAAGUAGAUAGAAUGUGUAGUGUAGCGGUGAAAUGCAUAGAUAUUACACAGAAUACCGAUUGCGAAGGCAGUCUACUACGUAUAUACUGACGCUAAGGGACGAAAGCGUGGGGAGCGAACAGAAUUAGAAACCCGAGUAGUCC